CAAUAGCGUAUAUUAAAGUUGUUGCAGUUAAAAAGCUCGUAGUUGGAUGUCUGGCUCUCGCAGGAGCUGUCUGCCGAAAGGUAGCACGGCUCGGCGGGGCCAUCCUCUCGAGGACGGGGUGUGCCUUUAACUAGGUGUGCCUUUGGACUCGGGACCUUUACUUUGAAAAAAUUAGAGUGUUCAAAGCAGGCCUACGCUUGAAUACAUUAGCAUGGAAUAAUGGAAUAGGACUUCGGUUUCUAUUUUGUUGGUUUCUAGAACUGAGGUAAUGAUUAAUAGGGAUAGUUGGGGGCAUUAGUAUUUAAUUGUCAGAGGUGAAAUUCUUGGAUUUAUUAAAGACUAACAUCUGCGAAANCANNNGCCAAGGAUGUUUUCAUNAG
This 380-nucleotide ribosomal RNA is filed under the name uncultured eukaryote. RNAcentral's name for it is "partial 18S ribosomal RNA". It matches the Rfam family "Eukaryotic small subunit ribosomal RNA", at positions 592 to 976 of the family's 1831-position model. The record is from RNAcentral.